AACGAACGCUGGCGGCAUGCCUAACACAUGCAAGUCGAACGAGACCUUCGGGUCUAGUGGCGCACGGGUGCGUAACGCGUGGGAACCUGCCCUUAGGUUCGGAAUAACUCCCCGAAAGGGGUGCUAAUACCGGAUAAUGUCUUCGGACCAAAGAUUUAUCGCCUUUGGAUGGGCCCGCGUUGGAUUAGCUAGUUGGUAGGGUAAAAGCCUACCAAGGCGACGAUCCAUAGCUGGUCUGAGAGGUUGAUCAGCCACACUGGGACUGAGACACGGCCCAGACUCCUACGGGAGGCAGCAGUGGGGAAUAUUGGACAAUGGGCGAAAGCCUGAUCCAGCAAUGCCGCGUGAGUGAUGAAGGCCUUAGGGUUGUAAAGCUCUUUUACCCGGGAUGAUAAUGACAGUACCGGGAGAAUAAGCUCCGGCUAACUCCGUG
RNAcentral lists this ribosomal RNA (433 nucleotides) under uncultured bacterium. RNAcentral describes it as "partial 16S ribosomal RNA". It matches the Rfam family "Bacterial small subunit ribosomal RNA", at positions 29 to 507 of the family's 1533-position model. The record is from RNAcentral.